CCACCCGUGGUCGGUGGCUGGCGCGGCCCCUGGUGGCGGCUGGGGCGGUCGGUGGUGGUGGCUGCGGACGGCCGGUGGUGGCGGCUGCGGGCGGG
Molecule: transfer RNA, 95 nt
Filed under: Amycolatopsis bartoniae
Lineage: Bacteria; Bacillati; Actinomycetota; Actinomycetes; Pseudonocardiales; Pseudonocardiaceae
Description: tRNA-Ala
Source: RNAcentral